UACAGAGGGGGCUAGCGUUGUUCGGAAUCACUGGGUGUAAAGGGUGCGUAGGCUGUCCGUUAAGUCUGAUGUGAAAGCCCUGGGCUCAACUCAGGAAUUGCAUUGGAAACUGGCGGACUCAGAGUACCGGAGAGGGAAGCGGAAUUCCUGGUGUAGCGGUGAAAUGCGUAGAUAUCAGGAAGAACACCCGUGGCGAAGGCGGCUCUCUGGGACGGUACUGACGCUGAGACGCGAAAGCGUGGGGAGCGAACAGG
This 254-nucleotide ribosomal RNA is filed under the name uncultured bacterium. RNAcentral's name for it is "partial 16S ribosomal RNA". It matches the Rfam family "Bacterial small subunit ribosomal RNA", at positions 524 to 776 of the family's 1533-position model. The record is from RNAcentral.